Salvelinus namaycush (lake trout) is the source of this 2834-nucleotide long non-coding RNA. RefSeq lists it as uncharacterized. The transcript is spliced from 6 exons. The record is from RefSeq and is a predicted model, not a curated record. NCBI's taxonomy places the organism in Eukaryota, Metazoa, Chordata, Actinopteri, Salmoniformes, Salmonidae.
CCUGUCCCCGGCUGGAGCUGUCCCCGGAAAUGUCCCCGUUUUUAACUGUGCUUUAAAAUAAUACUGCAAAGUGAAAUAAUAUUUUAAGAAAGACCCGGCCACAGAGCCUACCGUUUGACGUCUCAAUCGCGUGGUGCUUGUUUUGUCCAGCAGAGGGGGCUGCUCGCUAUAGCAGCUUCAUUCACUCUCCUUCUACUAACUACCUGCUCGCUAUAGCAGCUUCAUUCACUCUCCUUCUACUAACUACCUGCUCGCGAUAGUUUUAGAGAAAACUGCUGUGAAAAACUCGGCCGGGAGCUAGCAAGUGUCAAGUGAAUCCACAACAUCACCACAAACGUCUUUUUAAGCCAGAGAGUGGAGAGGAAGGAGAGGAGUUAGACUGGAUAGGAAGACGAGUGAAAGGGAGAGAAGAGGAAAGAUUGGAGAAGAAGGAGAAGGAAAAUGAAGGGAGUAAAAAUAGUGAAGCGAGGAGAGUGUGGAAGAGUGAGGUGGAAAGGUAAAGAGAAGGAAAGGAAGAAAGAGCAGGAAGACGAGUGAAGAAAAGAGGAGGAGAAAGAUUGAAGGAGAAGAAAAAGUUUGGCUGGCCUUUGUCCAUGAAAACCUGACCGUAUUCAGUGACACAAUCAAGAUGCUUGAAGGCCAGGACUGCUGUGCUGUGGAUUCUGAGAAAUGUUGAGGCAAAAUUGACUGCAAGACGUGAUGACAACUUCAUUCCAGUUUUGGUCAAAGGACUUCUGAGAGAGCUAGAGGGAAAUGGAUCAAUGUCUAAAGAGAGCUUUCUCAAAAUAUCCCAAUCAUUCUUCACUAUGGCUGUGAACUACUUGCAAGCAUGGGGAAAGCACACAGAUAAUCUAAAUGAUUUUACAUUGUCUCCUUUUAAAAAAGGAAACCUCAGCGUGUAGAGAUCCAGAAUGCAGCAGGCACACUGCAGGAAAAAUGCCCCAAUGUGACCAUCAAUGAGGAUGCAUUAUGUGACGAGGUUACUGGCCUGCAAGAGUUCCUAAAGGGGGGAUCGCUUGAAGAAUGGAAAACAUCUGAGACACCGCUUAGUCAGAGAUGGAGCACGGUGUUUACCCACUUCAAAGAGAACGACAUCCCACACACUAACCUGGCUAGAUUAGCGCCUGUUGUCAUGUGCUUACCUGGAAGUAAUGCACCAGUCGAGAGAGUGUUCUCCCAAAUGAAUGAUAUAUGGACAGCAGCAAGAAAUAGGUUCACUGUUCCUACCAUCAAGGCCAUGCUUAUUGUGAAGACAAACUUCAACCUCCCCUGCCAGGAGUUCAUGGAGAAGCUGGCCAAAGACAGAGCAAUCCUGAAGAAGAUACAUUCUUCUGAGAAAUAUACAGAUUAGUCCUCUGAGGCGUGUAAUGACUUCUCCGAGGAGUGGUGAUCCGGGUGGAGGUGGUAGCACAUGAUGGGGUGGGGGUACGGUCGGCGGGUCUCCCCACGCGAAGCCUGGCCACUUUUUUUCAAGUUCCACUCUGCCAUGGUGUUUUCCCGCAGUCGACCAGCCGCACAGACACCCUCUUCAGAUCCAGCAGUAAGGCGCUACCAGGAGAGUUGUGACACGGGGACUCUGGCAGUUCCACUCUGCCCUGGUGUUUUCCUGCAGUCGACCAGCCGCACAGACACCCUCUUCAGAUCCAGCAGUAAGGCGCUACCAGGAGAGUUGUGACCAGGGGACUCUGGCAGGUUGGAGGGGGACGGGCUAGCUCUGUCCUGGUGACCACAGAAAGUAUUGUACAUAGAAUAUCAUUAGACCAAACAUUUGAUUACUUUAGUCUAAAUCUCUGAUUGAUUGGUGCAUCCUUAUAAUACAUCCAUUUUCCUGAAGUGUGUAAUCGUUCACUACUUUCUACAUUUUCAAUCACUUUACCAAAUCUUUCAGAUGGAAGUGGUAUAUUUGUUUUUACAAAAUGUCAAAACUGAUAACACUUGUAAUGCCCCGUCUUAUGUUCAGAAACUUUGGUUGAGCAGUCAUUGGAGUUGAACAUCUUUCACCUGAGUUAAGAACUAAUGUCUCACGUAAUUGGUCAGCCACUCGAUUUAGUUCAGGGUUCAUACGUGUUAGGAGGAGAGCUUAACAGAUGAUGGAACGAGGAGGACGCCAACACCUGCCAAAUCGUGAUUUGUCAUAAUAACAAGUGAGGAAAAACUAAAACACCUGAACUACUGCUGCUCAUUAUGAUGUAGUAUUUAGAGCCAAAUCCAUCAAUUAUUUGGUUUUACCUUCCACCCUAAAUUAAAUGAAUGUCAAUUUAUACAGUUAUCCCCAUGUACAAUAGAGCCACUUCUUUAUGGUGCCUUUUACAGCUUGUUUCUAGCCUAAAGCGUUGCAGAGUUAUGCAUCCUAUACAUUUAUAUAAUCAGGGUUUGGGGGGCAUUAGCCCCUCCCCCACCCCAAGCACCACACCACUGGAAUGAACGUUGACAAAUAUCCAAUACAUGGGCUAGUCCACCAUCCAGAUCAGAGCUGUAAAUACAAUCAAGCCUGUCUAAUGGCAGAGUUGUUAAUUUGGCACUGUUGACCAGCACAGAUUUGGAUAAAAAUGUCAAGACAGGAGAAGGAGCAUAAUAGAAUCUAUUCUGGAUGUUCAAAACUGGUGAGUUUGAUGCUACCCAGCAUGCAUUUGCACAAUGCAGUGGACAACGUGUGGUUACAUGUGUAUUUGCCCUCCUCUGUCCUACCUUUGCAAAUCAGAUCAUAACUCCAAUCUGGUCCUCUUUGCCCAUUCACAUUGACUGGGCCAGUCAAGUUCCUUUGUGUACACAACACUGACAAUCUGAAAUGGUCCAUCCACACAGACAGGGUGGUGAAGAAGGCUGAACAGCAC